CCUACGGGAGGCAGCAGUGGGGAAUAUUGCGCAAUGGGCGAAAGCCUGACGCAGCGACGCCGCGUGAGGGAUGAAGGUCUUCGGAUCGUAAACCUCUGUCAGCAGGGAAGAACGGUCACUGUGCUAAUCAGCAGUGAAUUGACGGUACCUGCAAAGGAAGCACCGGCUAACUCCGUGCCAGCAGCCGCGGUAAUACGGAGGGUGCGAGCGUUAAUCGGAAUUAAUGUGCGUAAAGGGUUAGUAGGCGGCACGGAAAGCCUGGUGUUAAAGGGAGCGGCUCAACUUCUGUACGGCCAUGGAUACUUGCGAGCUAGAAUGCGGUAGAGGUAAAGGGAAGUCCUGGUGUAGCGGGGAAAUGCUUAGAUAGCAGGAGGAACAUCGGUGGCGUAAGCGCUUUACUGGGCCGUAAUUGACGCUGAGGAACGAAAGCCAGGGUAGCAAAUGGGAUUAGAUACCCCAGUAGUC
RNAcentral lists this ribosomal RNA (465 nucleotides) under uncultured bacterium. RNAcentral's name for it is "partial 16S ribosomal RNA". It matches the Rfam family "Bacterial small subunit ribosomal RNA", at positions 338 to 795 of the family's 1533-position model. The record is from RNAcentral.